AAAAACUUAAUAAUUACAACUUUCAACAACGGAUCUCUUGGUUCUGGCAUCGAUGAAGAACGCAGCGAAAUGCGAUAAGUAGUGUGAAUUGCAGAAUUCAGUGAAUCAUCGAAUCUUUGAACGCACAUUGCGCCCCUUGGUAUUCCAUGGGGCAUGCC
RNAcentral lists this ribosomal RNA (158 nucleotides) under Phaeosphaeria caricis. Its description in RNAcentral is "5.8S ribosomal RNA". The stretch from base 18 to 158 matches the Rfam family "5.8S ribosomal RNA". Rfam says of the family: 5.8S ribosomal RNA (5.8S rRNA) is a component of the large subunit of the eukaryotic ribosome. It is transcribed by RNA polymerase I as part of the 45S precursor that also contains 18S and 28S rRNA. Lineage: Eukaryota; Fungi; Ascomycota; Dothideomycetes; Pleosporales; Phaeosphaeriaceae. The record is from RNAcentral.